GUAGGAAUUAAAUGCAUAAUUAGAAACAAAUCUUGGCUUGGCAUUAUAAACACUUUGCAGAAUAAAAAUGCUAAAUCAUUCUCUCCCAGUAGCUGGCGCACACAGAUCAGUAAUGAUGACCAGUGAAGUGUCUAAACUUUUGAUUAAUAAAGGGGAGUAAAAGUAGACUGAAUUAAGCCCAUAAAUAAAAAAAAAUAAGUUUAGAUGAUUAAUAACUGCAAAUAAGCAGAGGCCUUUAUAAGCCCAUACUCUAAAUAAAAAAGUAAAUAACACAAACGUUCACAUUUAUUUCCUUAAAUAGUAACUAAGUAACACGUUGAGCUACCUUUUUAAGUGACUUUAGAUUGUAACGGAUUACUUUUCCCCCAACAGGAAGGAGUUCCUCAGACAGGAAGUGGAGACCAGUACUUUAGGAAGCCCUGCUGCUGCUGUUGCUGAGUGUCUAGAGCACCUGCAGUCCAGAUACUGGAUCUCUGCUCACCUGCACUCGACUCAACUCUGAUGCAGCACCAGGUUAAGAAAAAUGAAUAACUCUGCCCCGAA
Molecule: non-coding RNA, 543 nt
Organism: Danio rerio (zebrafish)
Lineage: Eukaryota; Metazoa; Chordata; Actinopteri; Cypriniformes; Danionidae
Source: Ensembl